This 492-nucleotide ribosomal RNA is filed under the name uncultured bacterium. RNAcentral's name for it is "partial 16S ribosomal RNA". It matches the Rfam family "Bacterial small subunit ribosomal RNA", at positions 29 to 507 of the family's 1533-position model. The record is from RNAcentral.
AGUGAACGCUGGCGGUAGGCCUAACACAUGCAAGUCGAACGGCAGCACAGUAAGAGCUUGCUCUUACGGGUGGCGAGUGGCGGACGGGUGAGGAAUACAUCGGAAUCUACUUUUUCGUGGGGGAUAACGUAGGGAAACUUACGCUAAUACCGCAUACGACCUACGGGUGACAGCAGGGGAUCUUCGGACCUUGCGCGAUUGAAUGAGCCGAUGUCAGAUUAGCUAGUUGGCGGGGUAAAGUCCCACCAAGGCGACGAUCCGUAGCUGGUCUGAGAGGAUGAUCAGCCACACUGGAACUGAGACACGGUCCAGACUCCUACGGGAGGCAGCAGUGGGGAAUAUUGGACAAAGGGCGCAAGACUGAUCCAGCAAUACCGCGUGGGUGAAGAAGGCCUUCGGGUUGUAAAGCCCUUUUGUUGGGGAAGAAAAGCAGCAGGUUAAUACCCCGCGGUUCUGACGGUACCCAAAGAAUAAGCACCGGCUAACUUCGUG